AGACUACUGAGGAGUCUCAAAACAGGACGAAACGGCCGUUCAGUGC
Molecule: non-coding RNA, 46 nt
Filed under: Schistosoma haematobium
Lineage: Eukaryota; Metazoa; Platyhelminthes; Trematoda; Strigeidida; Schistosomatidae
Source: RNAcentral